UUCCUUUCCAUGUUUAGCGCUUCCUUCAGGAGCUCUUGUAAGGCAGGCCUGGUGGUGACAAAAUCUCUCAGCAUUUGCUUCUCUGUAAAGUAUUUUAUUUCUUCUUCACUUAUGAAGCUUAGUUUGGCUGGAUAUGAAAUUCUGGAAUGAAAAUUCAUUUCUUUAAGAAUGUUGAAUAUUGGCCCCCACUCUCUUCUGGCUUGUAGAGUUUCUGCCGAGAGAUCCGCUGUUAGUCUGUUGGGCUUCCCUUUGAGGGUAACCCAACCUUUCUCUCUGGCUGCCCUUAACCUUUUUUCCUUCAUUUCAACUUUGGUGAAUCGUUUGAUCUCAGACUGCUGUGCUAGCAAUCAGUGAGACUCCGUGGGCAUAGGACCCUCCAAGCCAUGUGCGGGAUAUAAUCUCCUGGUGCGCCAUUCCCUAAGCCCGUCGGAAAAG
This 435-nucleotide long non-coding RNA is filed under the name Pan troglodytes (chimpanzee). RNAcentral's name for it is "long non-coding RNA NONPTRT014756". Lineage: Eukaryota; Metazoa; Chordata; Mammalia; Primates; Hominidae. The record is from RNAcentral.